UCCGAUCUGGUGAUUUUGGGUAGCAUCUAGGUGUAGGGGUAGGUCAUGUCGAGCUCGCUUGAUACAUGAAUCCGGUUGUCAGUCCUUUAUCUUUUUCAAAGCUUCUAAUUCUCAGUAACUCGGUAAUUCCUUUCUCUCUUUUCCUUUUAGGCAUAAGUUUUUCCUGUUAUACUAAUGUUGAGCGGAGACUCUAGCCUUGACAAGGUGGAGAUCUUGUCCAGACCUGCACCUGUUUUUAUUAACGUCGCCCCUUGUCGCAGUCAACAAGCUCAGCUUGCUUCCAUUCUGGGUAGUAGUUGGUCCCUAUGGAGGCGACCGAAGCAAUUAUCCCUGCCGGCCUUAUUACGUAAUCUGAGAAAGAAGAAGGCCGAAAGUGAGGUAACCCUGAUGGACUAGGCAGCUCUCUUAGAGAAGUAGCAUCUGGUCUUGAAUAAUAUGUCCAGUUUGGAGUCUAACACUUCUUCUAAUGACAUGUAUAUUAUUGGGGGCUCUCAAAGUUAUGGAGCGGUCUUGUAUCCUUCGCUUGUUUUUCUAGAUGUUCCGAGUGACCCAUAGCACGAACAAAGACCAAGCUAGGGCUGGGCGCCAAGGGUGGACAACUCUUCAAUCUCGGAAUGGUCGCGCUCUUUCCCUUCCCUUCGAAGGGUCAGUAAAGAAUUGGAAGGGUGGCUUCUUCAGCGUGGAAGCUCGAGGGACACGCCAUACUUGGGCGUAUGGUCCCGACUACCUCCCCUCUUCCCCUUUUCUUGGAAUGGGGAAAUCCAUCAAAAGUCCACCGACUCCUUCGCUUUCGCAUAUGAACAGUUGGACGAUCGAGAGAAAUGGCGGAACAAGGACAAGUCGCCUGCCAUUCCACCUACCACGCCGCCUGCACAUUCCACCUGCCCCCGACAAGUCAACAAGCGCAGACCUGAAGGAGGAACAAAGACAACCCGACAUAUCCCCAUUGUACCUACCAUGUACUAACCAAUGGCCAGAUGUCAUAUCAGCAGCCCCAAAAUCUUAUAAAUAGAUGAUUCCACACAUGGAGUAUAAUUAUUUUCAUUCCUUCAUUUAUUGCUUGCACUUAUUGUUAUUGCUCUAACUUCUCUCAUAUUUACUCCCAUUCCCUCUUUAAGACUCUAUACUGACUUGAUCAUCGGAGAAUAUUUUCAGGUAACUCCCCCGGCGGAUCCAAACAACAUUCCGACUAAGACUUAUGAUCAUCUCCAUUCUAUCGGGCGUUUGAUACCGACCAUCCCCAUUCAAUACUAAAGAACAUUAGUGUUUAAGAUUAUGAGUGUCUUAACGUCAUGGAUUUUCCAUUUUAUAUACUCCUUUAUUUUAAUAUUGAUAAAUUCUCAAAAUACAACGAUAAAUUUUUUCAAACAAAUAAAAUAAUACUUUUUGAAUAAUCAUCCAUCAUUUUUUAUAUUUUUUUUUGUUCAUUUUAGUUUUCCAUUUCAUCCCCUAAUUAAAUUGUUUUGUUAAGUUUAUUUUGUUCAUUUUAGUUUUCCAUGUCAUCUCCUAAUUGUUUUAUAUUAAAUUAAGUUUAUUUUGAUUUAACCAUGUGCAACCAAAAUUUUAACAUAGCUAAGAAGGACUAUGUGCAAGAGGAAGAGAGAGUGCAGAGAGAUAAGACUGAAAGUACUCACUUAGUUAUGACCUCUCAAAAUAAGAAAAGAAAGAACAAUAAGGAUGUUGCGAAAGGGCUAUUUGUGUUUUCCUCAGAGAAUGUGGAAUUGUUCUACAAUACAUUAUUCCAUGCAAACCUAGCAUGAAGGGUGUUGUUGAGUGAUUAAACUGAACUCUUAAGGAUAUAGUGAGAAGUAUGAUUAGUCAUUCUUCCUUGGUAGAGUCUAUUUGGGGGAAAGCUUUAAAGACUGUAGUUUACAUCCUUAAUAGCAUGCCAAGUAAAGCAGUUAACAAAACCUCAUAUGAUUUUUGGACUGAUAAAAGACCAAGCUUAAAACACUUGCAUUUUGGGUUGUCCAGCUGAGGCACGACCUUAUAGGCUGCAUGAAAGAAAAGUGGACUAAAGAAUAGUUAGCGGUUAUUUUGUUUGCUAUGCUGAACACUCUCGAGACUAUAAAUUUUAUGAUCCCACUUCACGACUUUUUUUAGACGAGAAAUGCAAGAUUUCUUGAGGAAGUUGAAUUUGGGAGGAAGAGAACAUAAAGAAUGUUGUCUUUGAGAAAAAACCUACCACUAAUGGUGAGCAAGUUCUUGUGCCUAUUACCAUUCAAGGAACAACUUCGGUAAUAGAAGAUAAUAUUCAGAAUAUUGUUCCUAAAAAUAUUCUUGAACAAGACAACAAUGAGGUUCUCCCUCAAUUACCUAUAGAAAAUAUUCAAGAACCUCAAGAAGUAAAAAUGUCAUCAAGUAGAUCCACUAGAAAGGAGAAGUGCAAUUCCUGAUGAUUAUAUUGUAUUUCUUUAAGAACAUGAGGAUGACAUUGGGUUAACAUAAGAUGAUCUAUUGAACUUCUAUCAAGCCAUGAAAAGUUAUAAUUCUCAAAAGUGGAUCGAUGCCAUGAAGGAUGAGAUGAAGUCUAUGCAUAAUAAUGACAUUUAGGAUCUUGUCGAAUUACCUAAAGGUGCGAAACCUGUUGGUUGCAAAUAGAUAUUUAAAACGAAGAAGGAUUCGAAGAAUAAUAUUGACAGAUAUAAAGCUCGUCUUGUUGCUAAAUGCUACACUCGGGAAGAGGACAUUGAUUAUAAAGAAACUUUCACUUCAGUAACUUCGAAUGAUCCUUUUAGAAUAAUAUUGGAACUAGUAGCUCAUUUUGAUUUAGAGCUAUAUCAUAUGGAUGUUAAGACUACGUUUCUAAAUGGUGACAUUAAAGAAACGACCUAUAUGGCGCAACUAGGAAAAUUUGUGUUAGUUGGCUCAAAGUCUAUGGUAUGCAAAUUAAAGAAAUUCAUCUAUGGCCUUAAAUAAGCUUUCCAUCAAUGGAAUCACAAUAUUCAUCAAGCUAUUACCUCGUAUAGUUUUGAGGCAAAUAAAGUUGAUAGUUGCAUGUACCAAAGGUUCAGUGAGAGUAAAUUUAUAAUCUUGAUAUUAUAUGUCAAUGAUAUACUGCUUGUUAGCAGUGAUAUGAGACUAUUGCAUGAGACCAAGAGAUUUCUAACGAAGAAUUUCGAAAUGAAAGAUCUUGGAAAAAUUUCUUUUGUAUUAGGUAUUCACAUACUGAGAGAUCACUCUCAAGGUAUCCUAAGGUUGUUACAAUAAAGCUGUAUAGAUAAAGUCCUAGAUAGAUUUGGCAUGAAAUACAGCAAACCAGUGGAUACCCCUAUAGCUAAGAAAGACAAGUUUAGUCUUAAACAGUGUCCCAAAAAUGACCUUGAAAGAUCCGAUAUGCAAAAGAUUUUUCAUGCAUAUGUAGUAGGAAGUCUAAUGUAUGUUCAAGUUUGUACACGUCCCGACAUAACGUUUGUCGUGGGAGUUUUGAAAGUUAUUUGAGCAAUUUUAUAAUGCAUCAGUGGAAGACAAUCAAACAUGUUAUGCGCUACUUAAAGAAAACAAAUGAUUACAUGUUCAGUUAUUAAAUGUAUGAGAAUUUAGAGAUCAUUGGGUAUUUUGACUCCGAUUUUUGGGUGUCUAGACAAUAGACACUCCACCUCUGGAUAUGUGUUUAUCUUGGUUGAAGGUGCUAUAUCUUGGAAGUCUUCUAAAUAGACGCUCAUAGCUCCUUUAAUCAUGGUUGCGGAUUUCAUGGUUUGUUUUGAAACAUCAGACCAUUGCAUAUGGUUGCGGAAAUUUUGUCACUGGUUUACGUGUGGUUGAUGGUACUAAAAGACCACUGAGAAUUUGUUGUGAUAGUAAGUUUGCGGUUCUUUACUCCAACAAUAAUAUGAGUUCUAUAAAGUCAAAAUUUAUUGAUAUCAAGUUUUUGGUUGUUAAAGAAAGUGUUCAAAAUUGACAAAAUUCCAUAUAACAUAUAGGGACAAAUUUAUGCUAGUUGAUCCAUUGACUAAAGGCUUGGUAUCUAAAGUCUUUCAUCAGCAUAUUUCUCAUAUGAGUAUUGCUCCUUAUGAUACUUUGGUUCAAUGUGAGUCUAUAUGUUUUAUGACUUAUUUUGGACGUUAUAUAUAGUUUUAUGCAUAAUAAAGUCAAUGGUUUAUUGUUCUAUUUUGAAGUUAUAUAUUGUAAUUAUUGUGUUGCAAUUAAGGACUUUGGAUUGAUCUUACUAAAUAAUAAAGAAGGACCAGUUGGAAAUAGAUAUGUUUGAGAUCACAUUGCAUGAAAUUUCCAUGUCACUCAUCCAUAUUUGAUUUUUAUCAUUAGUAUAUUAAUAUGAUAUUCAUCGUGGUCGAGUCACGUUUGAAUGUGAUGAAGGUCGCUGUGGUUCUAUAGUUGAUAUAUGAGAUGAACCAGAUUGUAUUAAGGAGAAGUCUAAAUAUAAAUAGCAUACGGAUGUGCGCAUAAAGAAUAUGUGGUAUAAUUGUUUCAUAAAAAAUAUGAAGCUCAAGUGGAAGAUUAUUAGAAGUUUAUAAUUUCUAAUUAAGGUGGACAUCAUAUAUUUAAUACAAUUAUAUCGACUAUUUAUUUCGGGGUUGCAAAUCAAGUGAUCUAAUUAAUGACAACCUAAAAGACUUCUGAAACUUAUAACGAAUAUAAGUUUAAUGAGUGGAUACCCAAACAGUUGGCCUAUAAGAGAUAAUGGGAACCCUAUAAGUUAACACACAAGGAGCGGUUAUGGUCCCUAAGAUACCAAAUCACAAAUAGUUUUCACAUAUCUCCAUCAGAGAGAAAAUGAAGGUCCCAAAAGGAAUUAAUGAUUUGGUUCAGGAAGAUCAUCAUACCAAAACUCUCUCAAAAGAUAUAUCAAAUGAGUAGAUCGGAGAAUAUGGAUUCAAGGAUUCAGAUAUCAUUUUGUAUCCUUGUUUUAUAUAAUGUGUGAGAAUCAUGAGAUUUAAGAUCAUAUGAUUGAUAUUUCAGCAAUCGUUAGUAAAUAUCUAACAUUUUUUUGCUCCCGAAGAAGUCUCAAAUAUUACCCUAAAGAAUAUCUUGUAAAUGGAGAUGAUAGGGGUGUCAGGAGAUCCAACCAACAUAGUAAUGAUAGUGCGAUUGAGAUAAGAUUUGGUGAUUUAGAGGAGGAGACCAAUGUUGAAGACAAGUACUCUUUCAAUUUGGAUGCAAGGAUUGUUCAUGAAAAAACCAGAGAGGAAUGCCAUGUUGUCAUGUCCUUAUUUCUAUUUAUGUAUUUGUUUAAUGUCUAGUUCAAUUGAAAGGUGUCAAGAAAAGUCUUAAAACAAACCUAAUUCAGUGAAAUAUAAUUGAUUAAAGACAGUAAAAAAACAUGAUUUUUUUUGGACAAAUAAUUUUAUGCUAGGAAGACCUAAGAAGAGAAGGAUCAAAGCAUUAAAUUCAUGAGUUGUAUAAACUUUUUUGGUACUACUAAAUAUAUUUUUUACUGUAUGAUUAAGAAAUUAAUCUCUUAUAGGGUGUGUGGUUGUCACUUCUAAUAAAUGCUGCUAUUGAACCCUUAACAUUUUGGUCUUUCUGAGAAUUUAACGAGAUCUUAUAUCACUAGACCAAUGUAUAAUUGGUAUGAGUCAUAUAAACUACAAACCUUUUAAAAAUAGUAAUUUUUUUAUUUUCUAUUAUUAGUAAAUCAAAUCAUACUUGGUGAUAAUCGCCUAUCAGUUUUCAAAAUUGUGUAGUGUUUAAAAUUAUCUAAAAAAUAAUAUGAGCGAGAUAUUAAAUAAAAGAGAGUGAAUCCACUUAUUUUAGGAGUAGGUUCAAAAUACAUACUAUAUAUAUUUAGUAUAUGAAAAUUUAAUGGGUCAUAUGAACUAUGUUUUUUAACUUACUCGUGGAGUAAUGAAUUCCCUCUUCUUUUAGUACUACCAAAAGUAUCAAUUCGCCAUUUUCUUCUCUAAAUGAAAUAUAACAUUUUCUUAUAUAUAAAAUUAUGAAUUAUAUAAUAAAAAUACUCAUCUUUAACUUAAUUUUAUACAUAUAAAAUCUCAACUAAAAGAAGAUAAUAGUAAACUUAGUCCUCUAAAGAUUACAUUGGCAUUAACUUAGGUUGCCUUUAGUUGGGGAGAGUAUGUAGAGAAAGAAAGUAAAAGUGAUGGACCCAUCAACUUUUAGUUUCUUCUCUCAUGUUAGAAGAAAUGGUAAACAAAGAAAGUUUUUUUGUAUUUAUAACAAUGCAUUAGGGCAACUACAAUGAUUGUUCUUAACAUAAUAAGAAUUUGUUCCCCCAUUGUGCUAUUCUUAUUUUCUGAUUUUUAACAGUUUUUUGUUGUUCUUAGUCAAAGGAAAAUGAGGAAAGAGGUAGAUUUUCUAGAAAAAAUAGAUAUUGUGGGACCCAAAUAAAAAUGAAAUUUUUGUUAUCUAUUGGAGAUGUUCUUAGCUUUAUCAAAUCAUCAUUGUUAUUUAAAAGGGUAAAAUUAUCUUUUUAGCAAAAACACAUUUUCUCCCCUUCUAAUUCUUUCAUAUCAAAGAACUCUUACAAUCAACUCAUUUUUUCUUUCUCUCUAGUCAUACUCUUUCUUUUUAUCUUCUCUCCACUCAUACUCAUCCUAUUUUCUUCUGAAAAAAUGUUACUAAACUAUUCCCUUAAAUAUUAUAUUUUUCACCAAGUUAGUGAUUGAAAGAAAUUGUAAUCAUAUUAAGCCAUAUCUUAUCACAUUAGUUUCUUAAAGAACAUAUAUGUUGGUGGUACCGAAUAAGAUGAGAAAUUGUACAAAUAUUAAUAUAUUUAUCAUAAUUGAAUAAUCUUUACUUGACUUUAACUUAACUAUGACAGUUAUCAUUUUUUUAAAAUCAUUAAUCAAUAUGCAAAGAAUUUUUAUAUAACCUAUAUUAUAAAUAUAUGGCCAAGUUCAUGACCAUCCAAAUAUGAUGUUAUAAAUAUUUUACAAAUUUAUCACUAACUUAGUUUUUCAAAGGUCGUGGUGUCAUGACAUAAUUUUCCAAUAAUUUAUUUUAUUAAACUUGUCCAUUAAAAAUUAGAUUUGGUAACACGUAACACGUUAGCCCUUUAUUAACAGAGAUAUUAACUUCAAAAAAAACCUGUCUCUGAAAAAGUAAUACUUUCAGCUUUUUGAAAUAUAGUCUUUGAAGAUUAAUCUAAUAAUUUUUUAUCCUCUUUAAUACUAGAGGUCAAAUAUUUGAAUUCGGAGCUCAAAUUAUUUUUAUGAUAUACUAGGUCAAAUAUCCGACGAAUGAUAUUACAUAUUCAAUUUUUAUAUAUUAUAUUUUUUUUGUUUAUGAUAAUGUUUAAUUUAAUGUGAGAUAUGUGAUUAAUUAAUGCAUUGGUGGUAGUUGCUUAGGAUUAUAUAGUUUUUUUUGUAAAAAUUAAAUAAUGUUAAGAGGAAUACAAAAAAUAUUACACCAUGAGGGAAGUUAUUUCAAGUUUUGGCUUUAUAUAUAUAUAUUAUAUUUCAAAUUUGCACCGUCCAUUUCCUUUGUUUUUUCAAAACACAUAUCAUAAUCUUUUCUUUUAAAUUUCCUGGAGGGUAAAAAAAGAUGUAAUGAGAUUAAUCUAAUUACAAAUUUAUUUGAGAACCAAGUUGAUGAUUCAUCUUUACAUGCGAAAUUAACCAUAUGGAUCCUCGAAAAACCAAAACUUUGGUUGAAAUGGAUAUGUUCACUUCAAAGGAAAAUAACUCCGUUUCUACACGUUCGUUUUAUAGCGUGUGUUAGGUGAAGACUGUUCUAGUUCCUUUGAGAGCCUCGAAAUCCUUUACCUUUUCAUCAAAUUUGAAUUCUUUCAAUGGAAUUGCUGGUAACUACUCUAACAACAAGCCUCUCUCUCUUUUCUUCUGUCUGUGUAUUGCAAUUUCUAAUUUUUUGCAUUGAAAAAACUUCAGGAGAAGCUGAAGAUGCAGAAGAAAAAACAACCAGACAAUAACGAAGUCGAAGGUGGUCCUGUGUUUUGGUUUGAAACCUCUGUUUCUGUUUCUCGCCGCUUUCAGUUUGAACCACAGGGCCAACUUUCUGUAUGUUCCUCUCUCUCUCUCUGUAUUGAUGUGUAAAUUAUAAUGAUAAAUGGGUAUUGGGUCUAUGUGUGAUUGAAUUGUGGAUGUAUAAUGUAGUAGUAUAAAUAGGUUUAGGGUUAAUUGUGUUUGUGAUAAGCAAAAGAAAGAAAAAGAGUAGGUAGCAGAUAGAAAAUGAUGUGUAAGAGUAAUAAGUGAUGGGCACUUUUGAUUUGAGAAGAAUAUUUGCAAGGUACCACUUUUGUACACUUUCUUUGAGGGGAAAAGUCUAGUUUCUCAAGCUAGGGAUUAACAUUUUAUGUUUUGUACCUUUGUUCAUUGUUAGUAUCAUAUUAUUAGGUAAAUGAUAGUACUUAAUAUGUUUGUAAUGAGCCAAUGACUAAUGCUAACCAUUAAAACAUUGAUUCUGUAUUUUCACUUAAUGUGAUUUUAUGUUUAUUUUAUACUAAUUUUAUAUGUUGAAGCAUAGCCGUUUUGUAAUAUAAUUUAUAUAACUGCUGUGUCAUGAUAUCCUUGCUUUAUGAAUUUGUAUCCUAUAUUCCUAUGUCAUCUACUCAUAUGUGUGCUUCCUAGAUGAGUUUCUUUGAAGUCUAGGUUUGGCCAAUCCUUUCCUUUCAUUACCCGGAAAAAAUGUAUAUUUUAUUUUUCGUUUUCUAUGCAGGUAAAGAUUGUUGAUGAUUCCAGACCAUUGCACAGCAGGGUUGUUGAGUCUUUCCUGCAUAAAUUUUUCCCUUCUGGAUAUCCAUACAGGUAGUUUGAUUUUUUAUUGAAUAUGUUGCAAGGCAUAGUUAUUAUAUCUUAGACAAGCUAGUUUAGAUUUUUAGUGUUCAAUUUGCAGUGUGAAUGAAGGCUACCUUACCUACACUAAGUUUCGAGCAAUGCAACACAUUACCAGUGCAGCACUAUCAGUGUUAUCAACUCAGGUCUUCUUCUGAUAACUUGAAAACCUCAGCAAAGCAUGUAACCAUAAAAAAGUUCACGUCUUUGAUGUUCUAAAAUAAAAUCCAUUUACCUAGCCACUGAAAGAAAAGGGUGGUCCAGUGCACGAGGCUCCCACCUAGUUGGGUCUGGAGAGGGUAGAUGUGUACAAUCUUACCCUUGCAAGCAAAGACGUUGUUUCCAGGAUUUGAACACAUAACCUCUAGGUCAUAAGGCAAGCAACCUUACUGUUGCGCCGAGGCUCACCCUCUAAAAAGGAAGCCUAGUGUUACUGAAUGUAUGAUGUUUUCCAUUUCAUAUUUGAUUUAUUCCUUAUAUAGUAUAGAAAAUAUUUCAAUGCCUCUUUGGCUGGUACAAUUCAUUUAGUGGUUGUAAUUUUUACAAAAAGAAUCUAUAUGAAACAAUUGUGUGUGAAGUCUAUGUCUUUGGUCUGUAUGCUUAUUCUUCUGCAGUCACUGUUAUUUGCUGCAGGCUUGCGUCCCACUCCUGCACAAGCAACUGCUGUUAGCUGGGUAAAUUGAUACUACAUUCCAAUUGACUAUUUCUCGGACCAGUCGUGGUGGCAUCCAUUUACGAUAUAACAUUUUUUUUCUCUUGUUGGCGUCCAGAUUUUAAAGGAUGGCAUGCAACAUUUAGGGAAUCUGAUAUGUAGUAAUUUGGGUGCAAGAAUGGAUUCAGAGCCUAAACGUUGGAGAAUUCUAGGUUUGCAAUUGAGCUGUUGCUUUUCAUUUUUUCUUGUAUUAGCUCUUAUGACACUAUCAAGGUUUUUGACUGCAAUAAUCAUUGCAUCGCGCAGCCGAUGUGCUCUAUGACGUUGGCUCUGGAUUGGAAGUGCUUUCUCCCUUAUGCCCACAUCUCUUUCUUGAAAUGGCAGGCCUAGGCAAUUUUGCUAAGGUAUAAUUUUUAUUGAAUUUCUUAAAUUAAUUUUACAUGUUGGUAUUUGUUGCUAACAUGCUAUGUAAAGUUGAUAUGAUGCUAAUUGUUGAUUCAUGCAUCUGUAUGUCAUGAUAAAGAACUUUAAUGUCAUAGUGAAAGUGACUGCUCAUUAACCUAUUGUUAUUGUUUUAAUCAGUUCAUGUUUACUCUUAGUCUGCUUAAAAUUGGUGUAAAGCCAUUUACAAAAUUUAAAUUUUAAAUAUUGAAACAAAAUAUGAAAGAGAGAGAGAAUGAAAGGCUCAGAGAGAUGUUAUGCUAUAAACGGAUGAGAGAGGCUAUAAUAGUUGGAUUAGAAAAAAUUCUAUGAAAUAGAGUUCGUAAAGAACCAGUUUCCCCCGCUUAGGCGCCUGCCCUGGGAGAUUGGUCUUUCACAUAUCGGGUGGGAGGAUACUUUGGAAAACCAAAAAAAUAAAUAAAAAGUUAGGUAGUUACGAAACACUGUUCAUUUGAAAGGUAGCUCUUGUGCUCUUACAUAUCUAGUUUUUAGAAUUCCAGACAUCCCUUUAUCUUUAUAUUAUUCUGUAAUCAACAGGGGAUGGCAGUUGUUGCAGCAAGAGCUACAAGGUUACCUAUAUAUUCUGCGUUUGCCAAAGAAGGAAAUCUCAGUGACCUAUUUGCUAAAGGGGAGGCUAUUUCGACUCUCUUCAAUGUUAUUGGAAUUGGAGUUGGAAUUCAAUUAGCAUCUACUGUAUGUUCGUCAAUGCAGGGAAAGGUAAAAUGUCUAUAUAGAUUAUCUUUGCUUGUUCUUGGGAGUUUAGUGUUCAAUAUUUUCUUCAGUUUUUGACUCACAUAAGAAUUUGCGCAAACCACCCAUGAUUGUCGCCAUUGUUUGUUACUGGAAUGGGUGAAGAUUGUUGCGCAGGUUGAGAUCAGAAAUUUGAUGUUUUCUAUUGAAUGUGGUGGCAAAGUUGUAGAUUAAAUGUAGCUUAUGAAGUCAUCCCCAAGGGUAUGGAUCAUAGAUAUUGUUUAUUGGAAAUUAGAACAAUUACUAAAAAAAUAUGAAAGCAAGUGAUUUUUUUUCUAGUUUUCUUAUAGAGAUAUAAAUAUGCUUUGUCAUAUUUUAAUGAUAAAUAUACAUUUUAUUUAUGAUUCCAAACUGAUGGAUUAUGAAAUGUUUCUUGUUAGUUGGUUGCGGGGCCUAUACUUUCAGUUCUACAUGUAUACAGCGUCAUCGAAGAAAUGAAAGCUACUCCUAUCAAUACCUUAAAUCCACAAAGAACUGCAAUGAUUGUGGCUGAUUUUCUCAAGGUCUGCUUUACAAUAUUAUCAUAAAUGAAUGUUCUCUUGUUUCCCUUUAAUUAAAAAGAAAUUGAAAUGCUGUUUGACUGAUAUUUGAAUUCCAAACCAGGCAGGAAAUGUAUCAAGCCCUGCUGAUCUCAGAUAUGGAGAAGAUUUGCUAUUUCCGGGGCGUCUCAUAGAAGAUGCCGGAAAUGUGAGAGUGGGUAGGGCUGUGCACAAGGUUAUUAAGCCUUCAAGGUUUGUUGAAUUAAAACAAAUGUUCCCCGAGGAAAAGUUUCUUUUAAAUCGAGGCGAUAAAUGCAUUGAUAUGGUACUGGCAAAAGACGCGGUCGGCGAAGAUGCAUUGAGAGGGUGGCUAGUUGCUGCAUACGCUGCACAAAUCGACAAGUCCUCUCAUGAGCUCAGUGCCAGUACCCUGCAAGAGGCCUAUGAGAGAAUGAGUGAUGUCUUCCCUGUGUUUUUAAAUGAAUUACAGAACAAAGGGUGGCAUACUGAUCGUUUUCUGGAUGGAACCGGGAGCCGCUUUUCCUUAUAGUGUUCAAAUAGAUCCUAUAUUGACCUGAGUAGGUUUUGUAACCCUUUUUGUGAUAUAGGAUGCAUUGCAGUUAAUGGUUCAGAUAAGUUGAACUUGAUCUCACUCUUUUUCUGCAUUGCUGGAUGGAAUGUUAUAGCUUUGGUUUUAUUGUUCUUCUUUCUCUUGCAAGUUGCAACAAUGUAGAAUAUAUUCAUGGUAUUCUCAGGACUUGUGUUUGACCUUGUUUUCUUCUCUUGGUGUUGUCCUUUUACUAUUAUUAAUUUGCAAUAAAGAAUGUAUGACUCUGGAAUAGUGAAAAGUGUUAUUUGCAUAAUUAAUAAACAUCAGAACUCAGAAGGCAAGUUUUGAUCACUGACAGAAUUUGAAGAUAUGGUACAAACAUUAAGACAUACCGGAAAUUCAUUUGUUUAUAGUAGAUCUUGAAACAAUGUUAAGUAAUCUAUCUUUUAUAUUUCUCAAAAUACUCUUCAGGAAUAGCUAAAACAAGAAAAUUGUUCCAAGAAAAUUCCUUCAAGCUUGUGUAUUCUGAUGAGCAAUUUUAUGGAGUUUAUAAGACUGCUCUUCCACAGUCUUGUCAUUUGAUACUUAAGGUAUCGGAUUAUAAUAUAUUUCUUCGUUCUAGCUUUCUCAAUGUUUUACUUCUUCCUGAACACAUCUCCUACCUAUUAGGAGAGUUGUUUAUAGAAUAAUAGUCAUAUAGGUCAUCUCACAACUUAUUAAAGAUGGAAUUUUUGAACAAAAAAAUCAUUCUCCAUCAAAACAGACAAAUCCUUAUUUUGUUUUUCUUUUUCCUCUUAAGUUGCAAAUCCAGUAUACUAUUAAAAGAUGUUGUCACUUAGCACAUGAUAAUACUCUAAGAAAAUUAAUCUUUCACCCCCUAAGUGGAGCUGUUUGAAAAUUAAAAAGCAUAGUUAGUUCUACAUAAAUUUUAUCUCACAUAAAAAAAAUAAAACAAAAGAUGAAAAGAUAAUAACAAAACUUCAAAAGUAACAUUUUAUCAUGGCGCAAAAGUACUAUUAUAUUAUAUGCAAACUCUGCAAUUUACAUAGAUAAGGAGGCUUGGAAGUACACAAGGCCAUAUUUUAUUACUAAACGUUACUACAAGUUCUCAACAUCCAAAACUUAUUUUAUUUUAAGAUGGCCACCUUAUUUCAACACCAUUGUUAUUUUCUUAUGCAACCUUAGGAAGGGUGUGAUCCUCAGACUCAGACUGAGGACUAACCAAAGGACCCUGGUUUCCACUGUACUUGAGCUGGCUCACCUGAUUCAGGCGAAGACCGAAAGCAUUGGCAAGAACCUCUGCAGGGAUGCCCCUAAACACUUGCUUAACUGGGCUAGUUGCAGCUAAGUCAUUUGUUUUGAAUGCUAUGAACUCAAAUCCUUCAUCCCCUGCUUGGUGUGCCACAACAAAGUUCUGUGGCACCACUAGAAGUUGUCCCCUUCUAAGGUCAUCAUUGAAAACUGAGUUGCCUUGGCAAUUCACCACUUGAACCCUUCCUCUUCCUCUAGUCACAAAGAUCACACUGUUUGCAUUGAUGUUCCAGUGUGGAGCAUAUAUACCAUUCUGCAUGCAUACACUAAUUUCAUGUUAAUAUAAAAUCAUGUUCAUAUAUAUACCAUAUUAUGAUAAGACAGAAUAAUAACAAUUGAUGUGUAUUUCAUAUUAAAACUAUUAGUGUCUAUUUUCGAGUUGGAUUAUGGAGGGGAAUGAAAAGAAAAGAAGGCUCGAGAGCCAUGAAAUACACUUUUCAUUAUUUCCCUUCCAAAACUUAACUCACAUAAGAACCCUCAUGAGAAGUUGUUGAAAUAAUAGUGGCUAAAGUUAAGGUGAUUAAUUACCCUGUAGAGGUUAACAUAGUCAGCACUAAGUUGGAACCAUCUGAGAAUUGGGAGGGUCAAGCUAUUGACACUGCUGAUGCGGCCAGCAUUUGGGUUGUAGAGAUCAGCACGCGAAGGUUUAGCAAUGUUCUCUAGAAGCCUAGCAGUGCAGAUAGUUUCCUCAAGUCCAUUUCUACUUUCUUGUCUCUUUCUCCUUCCUUGUUGUUGCUGCUGCUCUUCUUCUUCUUCCUCUCUUUGUUGUCCUGAUCUGCGUCCUCUACCUCCGUGGCGUCCUCGCCUUCCUUCUUGUUGUUCCUCUUCUUGUUCUUGUUCUUGUCCUUGUUCUUGUCCUUGUUCUUGUCCACGCCCUCUUCCUUGCUGGCGACGCACUCGAGUACUUGUUUCUUCUUCCUCCUCCUCUCCUUCUUCUCCUUGUGCACGUCUGUGUCGGGUUGUUCUCUCCCAUUCACGCUGCUGUCCUCUUCCUUCCUGCUCUGACUCUGACUCUUCUUCCUGCUCUUCUCCUUGGCGUCCUUGUUGUCUUCCCGGACGCCUUCUAGAUUGACGCUCAUAGCGUUCUCGAGAGCGAGGUUCAUCCUCUUCUUCUUCUUCCUCUUUCUCCUCUUCUCUUCUUUCCUCUCUUCGUUCAGGCUGUCCUCUCUGGCGCGGUUCUUCUUCUUCUUCUUCCUCUUCUUCUUGCGACUUGGGGCUGAUAAUGCUGAGACCUCUCUUCACUCUCACAAUUUGCUUCAAACGUUCAUCUGGGUUUUGUAGUCUGUUUAUAAUCUCCUCAUCAACGUUGAACGCUUGAGUCAAAAAUUGUGG
This 14223-nucleotide long non-coding RNA is filed under the name Lupinus angustifolius (narrow-leaved blue lupine). Its description in RNAcentral is "long non-coding RNA (LANG_LNC002923)". The record is from RNAcentral. Lineage: Eukaryota; Viridiplantae; Streptophyta; Magnoliopsida; Fabales; Fabaceae.